GAUGAACGCUGGCGGCAGGCCUAAUACAUGCAAGUCGAGCGAACAGACGAUGAGCGUGCUCCUCUGACGUUAGCGGCGGACGGGCGAGUAACACGUGCAUAACCUACUUAUAUUACGGGGAUAAUAUCGGGGAACCGGUGCUACUAAUGCCUAAUAUAUCCAACCGCUUGGAUCAAUAGUUAAACACGGUUUUGCUGAUUCUUUUAGAUGAAGCCGCGCCGUAUUAGCUAGUUGGUAAGGUAAAGGCUUACCAAGGCAACGAUGCGUAGCCGACCUGAGAGGGUGAUCGGCCACACUGGAACUGAGACACGGUCCAGACUCCUACGGGAGGCAGCAGUAGGGAAUCUUCCGCAAUGGGCGAAAGCCUGAUGGAGCAAUGCCGCGUGGGUGAUGAAGGUCUUCGGGUCGUAAAGCUCUGUUGUUAGGGAAGAAAAAAUGUGUAAGUAACUCUGCACGUCUUGACGGUACCUAAUCAGAAAGCCCCGGCUAACUUCGUG
This 497-nucleotide ribosomal RNA is filed under the name uncultured bacterium. Its description in RNAcentral is "partial 16S ribosomal RNA". It matches the Rfam family "Bacterial small subunit ribosomal RNA", at positions 28 to 507 of the family's 1533-position model. The record is from RNAcentral.